Molecule: long non-coding RNA, 1147 nt
Organism: Pseudophryne corroboree (corroboree frog)
Lineage: Eukaryota; Metazoa; Chordata; Amphibia; Anura; Myobatrachidae
Exons: 3
Source: RefSeq, a predicted model, not a curated record
GGCUUGAUCGGCAGGCAUAGCACUGGCCCUUAGCUGCCGCCACUCCCCCCGCUAUAGCACAUUGCUGUGUGCGCUGAGCCCGCCUCCUGCUGCCUGCACGGCUAUGGUGACAGCUGAGCGACCGAUAUAGCAUCAGCAGCACGGUGUGCGCUGACGGCGGUGCUGCUACUCCCACCUAUUGCAGCCGCCAUGCCUAGUUUUAGCUUUCGGAGUCUGUACAAGUACCCCCAUCUCUUGUACUACUACAGGUCUCAGUAAGCACUGUCUGGUUGUUCAUACAUACGCUGCAUCUGCUAAAGACUUUGUAUAUUUCGAAAAAAAUUGUAUUUAAUUUUUUUACACUGCUUCCAAAAGGUGGUAUAAUAACAGGAAUAAAAACUUUAGGUAUCAUAGUGGGAUAUACUGUAAAAUCACUAUACAAUGCCUACAAAAUGGCAACAUAGAAAGAGGCAACUGCCCUCUUCCAAAUGUUUACUGGAUCCUGCGACGUCGAUGCUUGUGAGGACCUGGCUCCGCCAUGCGUUCUUGAAGAGGAAGGGAAUGCUCGCCUUUAUGGUGCUUUAUCACUGAUCCUUUUUUUCCCCCAUGGAACCAUGUGCUGAAGAUGAGUAGGAUUCUGCUUUGGAUUACACUUGUUAUAUCUGCAGGACUCGUCACACUCACAGUAAUCGGUGAACUGAUUAAAUGAUAACUCAACUUUCUAAAAUAUAAUUUUAAAAAUGAAUCUUCCUUUUGAAUGGGUGGACCUAAAACGCAGAGUUGGAUGUGCCUUCUACUACUUCAUCCCAUCAGCGUAAUAACAUUUACAAGGAAUACCUUGAAUAUUUAUUGUGCUAACACAGUCAGAUGUUAGAAUCCCUGUAAAGUGUCAUGGAUAGAAUGUCGCCCUUUGUUGCAUGCUCUGCACAUCAGGUCUUCAUUGUGGUGCAAGUGAAGGGGCUCUUAUAAGAGGCCAGCCCUCUGCUCAGCUAAUUGUUAAUUCCAGGUUCUGUCACACAACUCAUCUGAUUGCUCCCAGUGUGCAUAGAGACAUUACAGCUCUUUUGCCUCCAUUACAUUAUGAUCCAUGUGUGGUAGCAUGCAACAUAUAUUAAUAAAUUCCACAAGCACUUGAAUUGCAAGGUACAUAGUUUAAAUGAAAUGGAUU